CGGACGGGUGAGUAACGCGUGAGCAAUCUGCCUUUCAGAGGGGGACAACAGUUGGAAACGACUGCUAAUACCGCAUAACGUACCGGUGCGGCAUCGCACUGAUACCAAAGAUUAUAUAUCGCUGAGAGAUGAGCUCGCGUCCAAUUAGCUAGAUGGUGGGGUAAUGGCUCACCAUGGCGACGAUUGGUAGCCGGACUGAGAGGUUGAACGGCCACAUUGGGACUGAGACACGGCCCAGACUCCUACGGGAGGCAGCAGUGGGGGAUAUUGCGCAAUGGGGGCAACCCUGACGCAGCAACGCCGCGUGAAGGAAGAAGGUCUUCGGAUUGUAAACUUUUGUCUUGUGGGACGAAACGAAUGACGGUACC
This 368-nucleotide ribosomal RNA is filed under the name uncultured bacterium. RNAcentral describes it as "bacterial SSU rRNA". It matches the Rfam family "Bacterial small subunit ribosomal RNA", at positions 99 to 479 of the family's 1533-position model. The record is from RNAcentral.